UACAGAAGCCCCGAGCAUUACCCGGAUUCACUGGGCGUAAAGGGUGCGUAGGCGGUCAUAUUAGUCGGGUGUUAAAUCCUGGGGCUCAACCUCAGGCUCGCAUUCGAAACGGUAUGACUAGAAGAAGUGAGAGGUGAACAGAACUCAUGGUGUAGGGGUGAAAUCCGUUGAUAUCAUGGGGAAUACCAAAUGCGAAGGCAGUUCACUGGCACUUUCUUGACGCUGAGGCACGAAAGCGUGGGUAGCGAACGGG
Molecule: ribosomal RNA, 253 nt
Filed under: uncultured bacterium
Lineage: Bacteria
Description: partial 16S ribosomal RNA
Rfam family: Bacterial small subunit ribosomal RNA
Source: RNAcentral